Molecule: long non-coding RNA, 1975 nt
Filed under: Rhagoletis pomonella (apple maggot)
Lineage: Eukaryota; Metazoa; Arthropoda; Insecta; Diptera; Tephritidae
Description: uncharacterized LOC118736506
Source: RNAcentral
AAUACUCGGAUCGCUAUCGGAAUUGGCUGACGUGUGUUAUUAAUACCGCAAGGUUAUGAUAGCGGUACGAUAUGUGUCGCUGACUCGUCUAGGAAUAGCCCCUCUGAAUUAUUUUUCAGCAAGUAAUGCCGAAAAUCUGAACAAAACAGGCAACGCCGAGCAGGAUUCUGUUGAAGGGCUGAACACAUCAAACCCGCAGGUGUUGUGUGGAAUCGGGGUGUUCGAAAAUAGCGCACCAGAUGAACAGGAAGUAGGAGAACCAGAGCCUUUGGAAGCACAACCAGAGGCCGUUUACGCUCUGAGUGUCGCUCACGCCAAUGGUGAUGGCGAUGUGCUGGAAUACGAUCCAGAUGUGCUAGAAGGCGACAGUGAUGUGCUCCAUGGGGGAACCGAUGUGAUACAUGGCGAUGCUGAUGUGCUGCAUGGCGAUGCGCUAGAAUAUAUGGCUGGAUAUAUAAUUGGUGAGCACGAAGACACCAGUAACGCAACUUUUACGUGGGUCGAUCAGGUGUCGAAAGGGUACCUUGAAAAGCCUUCACCCCUUUUUAUAGACCGUAUUAGGAGCUUGGAGUCGGUAUUCCUUGCUGUUAAUUUACAGGAAAUAGCGCACUGGAAAAAUAUAAAGCAGCGCCUUCUGAACAAAGCAGCUAAUGUAGACGUUCCAGACAGCGUCAAGCAGUUUUUCUUUAAAUGCCGGAUACUGUUUAGAGUGCGCCACCUAAAUAAAUUGAUUGUGAAGAAAUUGAAAGUGAAGAAGGCAAAGCAAAGGCUGGUACCCUACAAAAAGUUAAAUAAAAUAACUCUUUAAACUGAAAUUGUAUCCAAUUGAAAUUGAGCAGGCACACGUCUUAGUACAAGCUUCCAGGCAUUAAACACAACUUCACUGCGUCAAUGAACCAGCUAUCGCAACGCCAACUGCAUAUUUGCAACGUACCUGUAAACUUACAUCUUAAAGGCACAUACUCUCGGUCACGUGUUAAACAUUGUUUCACCACCUCCUGGCGAGGUAGAAACGCCACCGCUGAUUGUGUCGGUUAGUCACAGCAAAGAUGAGAAAUUCAUCAGCACACCGACAUCAUCCCCACUCAAAGAAUAGGACCUGAAAAUGUCAGCCGGAAUUAAAAUCCAUGGCAACGCUUGUUGGUACUUGGGAUUUCAAACAGAAUAUUGAAACCAGGCGGCAUUUGGGUGAAUUUGGGCCUACUACUUUAUCAUUUCAACUAUAUACGGGGCGAGAAAAUGGUUGGCUUUGAUUUUCUUCGUAGCCAAACAGGCGUACGCACUAAAUAAUCAUAAAACCCACAAUCCAUGCUUAAAAGUGAAUAUGAGAGCUUAUUUUGGAUUUGUCGCAAGCCAGAAAAUCCAGUUGACCGCAUUAACGAUUAAUCGAAUUGCGAUGAUGAAUCUUAUGAGCUCGUUGAUGGAGACGUUGGCAGUAGCAGCAACAAUAGUCACUAUGAAGAUAACUACAGCAAUGGUUACAAAUACGCAUACCAACAUCAAUAGUAUUGGCGGCAAAAGGCGCAAGGUAUUAUCUUGCCUAACACUUAACUAUUAGUCAUUUUGCAAUCCUAGUUAUUUGUUUUUUGACACACGCAUAACAAAUUCUUCCACAUCCCAGUAUGCAUAUGUAAAUCAGUAUGUAUGACUAUGUGUUUAUAAAAACACAACUCUCUUAAUAACAACAAAGUUGUACGAAUAAUAUGCUCUCUUUUAUGAUCGAGUAGCAUAAAUAUUGAAUAUUAGGCAUAUGAAAUUGAAUUCUUUAACAUGGAAUAUGUUUUUAAGUUUAAUUAAAGCAUUAUGCAAAAGCAUAAAACACAUGUUGUAAUUUUAAGCAAAGUAUUACCGGAACCAGAACUAUGAUUUCAGAAUCUACAAAGUCGAAAAAUAGUUGGUAGAACACACUUUUCACGAAAUUAAUGAAAUAAAAUUUUUACCUGUAUUGAAAUUAAUUGCAAGCAAUUUUUUAAUU